UACGGGGGGGGCAAGCGUUGUUCGGAAUUACUGGGCGUAAAGGGCUCGUAGGUGGCCAACUAAGUCACACGUGAAAUCCCUCGGCUUAACCGGGGAACUGCGUGUGAUACUGGAUGGCUUGAGUUUGGGAGAGGGAUGCGGAAUUCCAGGUGUAGCGGUGAAAUGCGUAGAUAUCUGGAGGAACACCGGUGGCGGAGGCGGCAUCCUGGACCAAUACUGACGCUGAGGAGCGAAAGCCAGGGGAGCAAACGGG
This 253-nucleotide ribosomal RNA is filed under the name uncultured bacterium. RNAcentral's name for it is "partial 16S ribosomal RNA". It matches the Rfam family "Bacterial small subunit ribosomal RNA", at positions 524 to 776 of the family's 1533-position model. The record is from RNAcentral.